AUACGGAGGGCGCAAGCGUUGUUCGGAAUCAUUGGGCGUAAAGCGGGUGUAGGCGGCUUGGCAAGUCGGGUGUGAAAUCCCUGGGCUCAACCCAGGAACUGCACUCGAAACUGCCUCGCUAGAGUCUCGGAGAGGGUGGCGGAAUUCCCGGUGUAGAGGUGAAAUUCGUAGAUAUCGGGAGGAACACCAGUGGCGAAGGCGGCCACCUGGACGAUGACUGACGCUCAGACCCGAAAGCGUGGGGAGCAAACAGGAUUAGAUACCCUGGUAGUCC
Molecule: ribosomal RNA, 274 nt
Filed under: uncultured bacterium
Lineage: Bacteria
Description: partial 16S ribosomal RNA
Rfam family: Bacterial small subunit ribosomal RNA
Source: RNAcentral